This 419-nucleotide ribosomal RNA is filed under the name uncultured bacterium. RNAcentral's name for it is "bacterial SSU rRNA". It matches the Rfam family "Bacterial small subunit ribosomal RNA", at positions 356 to 773 of the family's 1533-position model. The record is from RNAcentral.
AGGGAAUAUUGGUCAAUGGGCGAAAGCCUGAACCAGCCACGCCGCGUGCAGGAUGAAGGUCUUUAUGAUUGUAAACUGCUUUUGCCAAGGGAUAAAAAGAGGCUAUAAGCCUAGAUGAAGGUACUUGGUGAAUAAGCCACGGCUAACUACGUGCCAGCAGCCGCGGUAAUACGUAGGUGGCAAGCGUUGUCCGGAUUCACUGGGUUUAAAGGGUGCGUAGGCGGCUUAAUAAGUCAGUCGUUAAAGAUAUGGGCUUAACCCAAAUAAGGCGAUUGAUACUGUUUAGCUUGAAUUCGUUGGAGGUAUCUGGAAUGCGUAGUGUAGCGGUGAAAUGCACAGAUAUUACGCGGAACACCAAUUGCGAAGGCAGGAUACUACGACGAGAUUGACGCUGAUGCACGAAAGUGUGGGGAGCGAAC